UACGUAGGGGGCAAGCGUUGUCCGGAUUUAUUGGGUUUAAAGGGUGCGUAGGUGGUCUAUUAAGUCAGUGCUGAAAUAUCCCGGCUUAACCGGGAGGGUGGCAUUGAUACUGAUGGACUUGAGUGGAGUCGAGGUAGGCGGAAUUGACGGUGUAGCGGUGAAAUGCUUAGAUAUCGUCAAGAACACCGAUAGUGCAGACAGCUUACUAGGCUCUAACUGACACUGAGGCACGAAAGUGUGGGGAUCAAACAGG
This 253-nucleotide ribosomal RNA is filed under the name uncultured bacterium. RNAcentral describes it as "partial 16S ribosomal RNA". It matches the Rfam family "Bacterial small subunit ribosomal RNA", at positions 524 to 776 of the family's 1533-position model. The record is from RNAcentral.